This 253-nucleotide ribosomal RNA is filed under the name uncultured bacterium. RNAcentral's name for it is "partial 16S ribosomal RNA". It matches the Rfam family "Bacterial small subunit ribosomal RNA", at positions 524 to 776 of the family's 1533-position model. The record is from RNAcentral.
UACGUAGGGUGCGAGCGUUAAUCGGAAUUACUGGGCGUAAAGCGUGCGCAGGCGGUUCGUCGUGUCUGAUGUGAAAGCCCCGGGCUCAACCUGGGAAUGGCAUUGGAAACUGGCGGACUAGAGUGUGGCAGAGGGGGGUGGAAUUCCGCGUGUAGCAGUGAAAUGCGUAGAUAUGUGGAGGAACACCGAUGGCGAAGGCAGCCCCCUGGGUUAACACUGACGCUCAUGCACGAAAGCGUGGGGAGCAAACAGG